GGUGGCAAUUUGUUAGACGAUUCAGGAGGAGUAGGAUCCCUCCAGAAGGACAAGUUGGAGCUGGGUGUUCCAAGCAGAGAACUUUGUUUCUCCAUUAGCCCGUUUUGUUUCUGAAUAUCUCCAGAUGCUGAUUUUCCUCUUGGAGUUUGGUGCUCAGGACUGAAUUGUGUUUCUUGUGCUCUGGCCAGCACAGAGAGAAGAAUACCAGCCCUUCCACUCUUCUAUCGCAUGGGCUUUUGGCCCUAGGUAUACACUGGAAUCACCUGGAGAGCUUUUAAAGCAGAGUGAUGCUCAGGGCUCUACCUGUAGAGGUUCUUAUUCAGUUAAUCUGCCUUUAGCACUUUAAAAACUUCUCCUUCUCUGCUCCCCAAGUGAUUCUGAUAUGCAGCCAGAGUAAAGAUAAACUGGCUUAGAUCUUAUAUAGGCAUCAAACACAGGCAUCUGAAAAGAUCAGAGGUUUUCCUAGCUUCAGGUCCAGCUUGAUCCAGCAGCUCAGUGAUCUAAUCAAGGUUUCAGUUUUCUGGCCGAAGCCACUUGAACAACCCUUGGAGUCCAAGCCCCUCAGCAGGCAGUUCCGGCCACCUCUUCAUCUCUGUAUCCCCAGCUGUACCACAUGAGACGCCAGACUUUCUACACCAGAGGGUCUUGAGAGUGUUGUGAAGGAAGGUGUUGUGAAGCACGUCAUCUCAAAGAGGAAAUGUUUGUUAAAUGGAUGACGGACUGAAGCAUCUGAGGACCCGACUGUCCCAUCAAUAGCACACAGUUUAGAAGAGGAGAUGGUGGGGACCCCGGGACUCUGAGACAAACAUACCUCGAACUUCACGGAGCCUGUCUGGGUGGUGUCGAAGGCGUGGAAGAGGUAAUGGGCAUACAUGCUGGCAUCUGAAAGGCACAGAAGGAAAGGCAGGUGACGGGAGCCGGGGCUUCACAGAGGGAAGGGAGAAUGCUUGGAAACAAUAAGGAAGAGAAGAGGGUGCUGCUGGGGUGAUGGAAAGGAGGAAAGGCAGUGUGGGCAAGCCCACUGUGUAAACAGGGACCCAUGUGGCUGUCCUGGAUUUUAGGUGGAAAGUUCUUAGGACAAAGACAAGCCCUCACCCCUACAUCUAGCCAUCCCCGGAGGAAGACCCUCCCGCUGGUUCACAUGGGUAAUUCUUGGUGGGUGAGUGACGUGGCAACUGUGGGAAGAAGGCGCCCUUCUGAGUGAUGUGCAAUGCCAUGGAGUGAGUACUCACUAGGGAGCAGACAGACCUGGGCUUGGCUAGCAGCUCUCUCCCUAUGUAGCUGUGUGAACAGGCAUCGAGCAGAACCUCUCUGAGCUCCUCUUUCCUGUCUCUGUACAAAGGGAUGUAGCAAAACCUAUCUCUUGGAAUUUUUGAAAAAGUAUGUUAAACUUUUAACAUAGUCACAUCAUCUUAACCAUCACCAUUCCUGCCAAAUGGUCAAAACUCAAUAAACUGUGGCUCAACAGAAUUCAACAGCAGUGGUUCUGGGGUCUUCAUGGGGUGAAGCUGCUCCCCAACUUGCAGAGGGGCCCUGUACGGGGUCCCACACUUAGGAGGGCCCCAUCUGUGCCAAAGAGGCCCAUGAGAGACAGAGCUCAAGAAAUGUUUGGGACACUUGGAUCUCCAUUUCAUCAGGACCCAGGGAAGGGAUCCUGCAGGAGAUAGCUCCUGGGGGCAGGAAGUGAAGUGGCACAUGACUCAU
This is a long non-coding RNA of Felis catus (domestic cat), 1704 nucleotides long. RefSeq lists it as uncharacterized. Lineage: Eukaryota; Metazoa; Chordata; Mammalia; Carnivora; Felidae. The record is from RefSeq and is a predicted model, not a curated record. The transcript is spliced from 3 exons.